This 545-nucleotide ribosomal RNA is filed under the name uncultured bacterium. RNAcentral's name for it is "bacterial SSU rRNA". It matches the Rfam family "Bacterial small subunit ribosomal RNA", at positions 372 to 917 of the family's 1533-position model. The record is from RNAcentral.
CUCGAGCGAUCCUGAUCCAGCCAUGCCGCGUGCAGGAAGAAGGCCUUCUGGGUUGUAAACUGCUUUUGCCUGGGAAUAAACUGUCCAUGCGAGACAAAUUGACGGUACCUGGUGAAUAAGCCACGGCUAACUACGUGCCAGCAGCCGCGGUAAUACGUGAGUGGCAGGCGUUGUCCGGAUUUAUUGGGUUUAAAGGGUGCGUAGGCGGACCCGUAAGUCAGUGGUGAAAUCCGCCAGCUCAACUGGAAACGUGCCAUUGAUACUGCAGGGCUUGAGUACAGACGAGGUAGGCGGAAUUGACUGUGUAGCGGUGAAAUGCAUAGAUAUCGUCAAGAACACCAAUUGCGAAGGCAGCUGACUAGGCUGGAACUGACGCUGACGCACGAAAGUGUGGGGAUCGAACAGGAUUAGAUACCCUGGUAGUCCACGAUGUAAACGAUGAUUACUCGAUGUUGGCGAUACACAGUCAGCGUCUUAGCGAAAGCGCUAAGUAAUCCACCUGGGGGAGUACGCCCGCAAGGGUGAAACUCAAAGGAAUUGACGGG